RNAcentral lists this ribosomal RNA (497 nucleotides) under uncultured bacterium. Its description in RNAcentral is "partial 16S ribosomal RNA". It matches the Rfam family "Bacterial small subunit ribosomal RNA", at positions 28 to 507 of the family's 1533-position model. The record is from RNAcentral.
GACGAACGCUGGCGGCGUGCCUAAUACAUGCAAGUUGAGCGAUGAAGAUUGGUGCUUGCACCAAUUUGAAGAGCAGCGAACGGGUGAGUAACGCGUGGGGAAUCUGCCUUUGAGCGGGGGACAACAUUUGGAAACGAAUGCUAAUACCGCAUAACAACUUUAAACAUAAGUUUUAAGUUUGAAAGAUGCAAUUGCAUCACUCAAAGAUGAUCCCGCGUUGUAUUAGCUAGUUGGUGAGGUAAAGGCUCACCAAGGCGAUGAUACAUAGCCGACCUGAGAGGGUGAUCGGCCACAUUGGGACUGAGACACGGCCCAAACUCCUACGGGAGGCAGCAGUAGGGAAUCGUCGGCAAUGGACGAAAGUCUGACCGAGCAACGCCGCGGGAGUGAAGAAGGUUGUCGGAUCGUAAAACUCUGUUGGUAGAGAAGAACGUUGGUGAGAGUGGAAAGCUCAUCAAGUGACGGUAACUACCCAGAAAGGGACGGCUAACUACGUG